Molecule: ribosomal RNA, 483 nt
Filed under: uncultured bacterium
Lineage: Bacteria
Description: bacterial SSU rRNA
Rfam family: Bacterial small subunit ribosomal RNA
Source: RNAcentral
AGAGUUUGAUCCUGGCUCAGGAUGAACGCCAGCGGGAGGCCUAACACAUGCAAGCCGAGCGGUAGAGAUUCUUCGGAAUCUUGAGAGCGGCGUACGGGUGCGGAACACGUGUGCAACCUACCUUUAUCUGGAGGAUAGCCUUUCGAAAGGAAGAUUAAUACUCCAUAAUAUAUUUGAUGGCAUCAUUAAAUAUUGAAAGCUCCGGCGGAUAGAGAUGGGCACGCGCAAGAUUAGCUAGUUGGUGAGGUAACGGCUCACCAAGGCAAUGAUCUUUAGGGGGCCUGAGAGGGUGAUCCCCCACACUGGUACUGAGACACGGACCAGACUCCUACGGGAGGCAGCAGUGAGGAAUAUUGGACAAUGGGUGCAAGCCUGAACCAGCCAUCCCGCGUGAAGGACGACUGCCCUAUGGGUUGUAAACUUCUUUUGUAUAGGGAUAAACCUUCCCACGUGUGGGAACCUGAAGGUACUAUACGAAUAAGC